UCAGAACGAACGCUGGCAGCGUGGAUUAGGCAUGCAAGUCGAACGGGAUCCGGAAGGCAGCAAUGUCGGCCGGUGAGAGUGGCGGAAGGGCGAGGAACACGUGGGCAACCUGUCCUUGAGGUGGGGGAAAACCGUCUGGAAACGGAGGCGUAAUACCGAAUGCGGCGCGCGGGGGCAUCCCCUGCGCGCCAAAGGGGGCCGCAAGGCUCUCCCUCAUCGAGGGGCUCGCGCACCAUCAGCCUGUUGGCGGGGUAACGGCCCACCAAGGCUCACGGUUAGCUGGCCUGAGAGGAUGGCCAGCCGCACUGGGACUGAGAUACUGCCCAGACUCCUACGGGAGGCUGCAGUCGAGGAUCAUUCGCAAUGGGGGAAACCCUGACGAUGCGACGCUGCGUGGAAGGAUGAAGGCCCUCGGGUCGUAAACUCCUGUCAUGAGGGAAAAGGCGCGGGGGCCCCACACGCCCCUUAGUUGAUGGUACCUCAAGAGGAAGAGACGGCUAACUCUGUGCCAGCCGCCGC
Molecule: ribosomal RNA, 519 nt
Filed under: uncultured bacterium
Lineage: Bacteria
Description: bacterial SSU rRNA
Rfam family: Bacterial small subunit ribosomal RNA
Source: RNAcentral